This 515-nucleotide long non-coding RNA is filed under the name Taeniopygia guttata (zebra finch). RNAcentral describes it as "lncRNA (ENSTGUG00000029293.1)". Lineage: Eukaryota; Metazoa; Chordata; Aves; Passeriformes; Estrildidae. The record is from RNAcentral.
GCCAGAGCAGGUGUGCCAAGCUACCAUGGAUUGUGCCUGUACUGUUGGUGCCCAGGAUGGGAUGGCUGUGGAGGCAGAGCUGGCUGAGCCCAUUAGCAAAUCUGCUUUCCCUGGUAGGAUCCUUUGUGCCUGGAGGUGCCUCCCAGACUGCUCUCCCGGGGACCUGCAGAGGCAACCUGCCCUUCGGUGUCUGCUGGAGGAACAAGGGGAGAGAGGGAAGAAGAGAUCACACCAUCUGUUGGAUCCAUAUAUUACAACAUUUGAGUCAAGAGAAACUGAGUUUGGUCCUUGGAUGCCUCAAGGAGCUGUGUGACAGCAUAGAUGUUCUCCUUAAGCCUUUUUUCAUCUGUGCCUCCCCUCUUCACUGCCUGCUGCACCAUCCCCAAGCUUGUUCAGGACACCACUUGCCAAAUCUCAGCCAGAUCAGCCGGCUGAACCCAUCCUCACUCUUUCGCCUGUGGGGAGAGAAAGAGGUAAUAAAGCUCCUCCAAAAUAGAAGCCAUUCUUUUAAGUCU